AGUCGAGCGCCUCGCUUUCGGGCGGGGAGCGGCGCACGGGUGAGUAACGCGUGGGAAUCUACCCUGGGGUUCGGGACAACGGCGGGAAACUGCCGCUAACACCGGAUACGGCCUUUUGGCGAAAGUUCACGCCCUGGGAUGAGCCCGCGUCCGAUUAGCUAGUUGGUGGGGUAACGGCCCACCAAGGCUGCGAUCGGUAGCCGGUCUGAGAGGAUGAUCGGCCACACUGGGACUGAGACACGGCCCAGACUCCUACGGGAGGCAGCAGUGGGGAAUCUUGGACAAUGGGGGCAACCCUGAUCCAGCGACGCCGCGUGGGUGAUGAAGGCCUUCGGGUUGUAAAGCCCUUUUGUCGGGGACGAUGAUGACGGUACCCGGCGAAUAAGCACCGGCUAACUCCGUGCCAGCAGCCGCGGUAAUACGGAGGGUGCUAGCGUUGUUCGGAAUUACUGGGCGUAAAGGGCGCGUAGGCGGCCGUUUGCGUCGGAUGUGAAAGCCCGGGGCUCAACCUCGGAACGGCAUUCGAUACGGGACGGCUGGAGACCGGGAGAGGAGAGUGGAAUAGCCAGUGUAGAGGUGAAAUUCGUAGAUAUUGGCUGGAACACCGGUGGCGAAAGCGGCUCUCUGGCCCGGUUCUGACGCUGAGGCGCGAAAGCGUGGGGAGCAAACAGGAUUAGAUACCCUGGUAGUCCACGCCCUAAACGAUGUGUGCUGGGCGUCGGGGGGCUUGCCCCUCGGUGCCGGAGCUAACGCGGUAAGCACACCGCCUGGGGAGUACGGCCGCAAGGUUAAAACUCAAAGGAAUUGAC
RNAcentral lists this ribosomal RNA (809 nucleotides) under uncultured bacterium. Its description in RNAcentral is "bacterial SSU rRNA". It matches the Rfam family "Bacterial small subunit ribosomal RNA", at positions 60 to 914 of the family's 1533-position model. The record is from RNAcentral.